Molecule: long non-coding RNA, 1043 nt
Organism: Strigops habroptila (Kakapo)
Lineage: Eukaryota; Metazoa; Chordata; Aves; Psittaciformes; Psittacidae
Exons: 3
Source: RefSeq, a predicted model, not a curated record
UGGUGAAAGUCCUGCCAGUAGAGGACUGCUCCCUUUGGAGUGGAGUACGGACCCUUUACCCACAGGACAGGAUACUGCUAGUUCGCAGAGGUUUGAGAAUGAACCAGCUCAGAAGAAGACACAGAAUUCAGGCAAAGAGCAACUCCAAAUUGCAUGGACAGUAAAUUAGCCCCUCCAGCGCACUCUGGAUGCACACAGAUUCGCUCUGCCAGUGCUCAAGUUACAUACUCCUGUGCAGCAGGUGCCUGGGAGAGAGACUUCCAGGCACUUGGAAAAGCAGCCAGCUGCUAUUAAACACCCGGCUGCUGGAUCAAGGGAUAUUUAGGUGGGCAUUCUUGCUUGUGUGGGUAUGCUGAUGUCUAAUAAGCAGCUAGUUAUGUACAACUGCCUUCCUACCUGUAAGGCACUAGCGGACUCUAACUGACUAUUGACAUAAGUGUGACAUAAGUGUGAUCCUACAAGGAAGCACAUGCUAAAAAUUAUCCUCUUGCCAUCUGAAGAGGGGUGUAACCAUUCACCGUAGAACUCACUGUGUCUUCUUACGUAGGAGGCAGUGAUUCUUUUUAGUUAGACCACUCCCUAAUUAGAAUAAAAGUAAUUUUCAUAGGUUUGUAAAAUGCCUCAUUGUAACUCUAUGAAUAAUCUCCUGCAUCUGAUUGCCUAGCAGACAAUUCUUAGCUUCAAUGAAAUGUGAGAGUCUCUUCUAUGGUGAUUGAAGUGAUGCAGGGACUACUGCCGCAAGUCUUUUUGUUUGUGAGAGGCUUGGCUCUGAGUCCCUCUGACUAGUUACAGAAUGGAUUUGUGUCCCAGCUUAUUCCUUCCCUGGCAAAGCUGGGAGAAGGGAACACAGAACUGAAGUCUUAAAACUUAACUGCUGCCCAGUAAAACGAUGUGGGUUUUGCUCUUCAAUAGAUUGCAUGCAAGUUGUAACCAGCUUAUUUCUUAAAAAGUAGACUCAGAGAUGUGUAUUCGCUGACUCUUUCUUCCAUUGGCAAUGUUGAAUGUGCUUUAUCUUACCGCGCUGUAAGUACCAUUAAAAAUCA